This 176-nucleotide ribosomal RNA is filed under the name Dasymutilla gloriosa (thistledown velvet ant). Its description in RNAcentral is "partial 18S ribosomal RNA". It matches the Rfam family "Eukaryotic small subunit ribosomal RNA", at positions 1660 to 1831 of the family's 1831-position model. The record is from RNAcentral. Lineage: Eukaryota; Metazoa; Arthropoda; Insecta; Hymenoptera; Mutillidae. RNAcentral also lists the same sequence under 4 other names.
UUGUACACACCGCCCGUCGCUACUACCGAUUGAAUGAUUUAGUGAGGUCUUCGGACUGGUGCGCGGCAAUGUCUCGGCAUUGCCGAUGUUGCCGGGAAGAUGACCAAACUUGAUCAUUUAGAGGAAGUAAAAGUCGUAACAAGGUUUCCGUAGGUGAACCUGCGGAAGGAUCAUUA